GGAUUUUGGGGGCGGAGUGUCUAAGGGGUCUCUAGACGCUUGUCUGAUUUGAAUGCUUUUCAGGAUGAUUUAUGGCAAAAGGCUCCUUUCUGACGCUUCCAGAUGCCAAAGCUCUUACCUUCCAGACAGGGGUGAGCGAAAUCUGCUUCCAAUAGCCGCGCGGAUGGAAGCCCGCGCGCCUACCGCGCCCGGCUGCCGGCUGCCGGUCACCCUAAACCGACUGUGUGCACCAGCCUUCUCCCGGACCCGCAGAUAACCUUUCCCCGCCUUCCUACUAAGGAGGAGGGAGGGAUCUUCUUUUUUACGAUGACAAACCUACGGAGGGAAACCAAGUCACCCCUCCUGUAAAGUUAGUCUCUUGCAGUUAACUCUGUUUUUUGCAAUUAACCACCUGCUACUGCCCCGUUGGUGGUUUGGUGUUAAUGCGAUUUGACCCCACACGUGAAGCGGGGCGGGAAUAAGCCCUCCGUUGGGACCCCUGGUGGUUUCACCCUCCGGCCUCAGCCUUCUGGCCGCGGCUGAGAUUCGCUCUCCUGGUUCCCGCGGGGCGGAGGCCCGGGCGGCGCUCAGAAGCUGCCGGGGCGUCGCGGGGUAGGAGGCGAUGUCUUCUCGAAAGCUCCCUGCAGUCUCUGGGCCGCGAGGCGAGGCCAGGAAAAAUAACCCUCCCGACUCAAUUACUAAUAAACAUCUCUAAGAAAUGGCACCCUUCUGCUUAUUAGACAAGACUCCAAUGCAAGAGAGGAGAAUAGAAUAGCAGCUUUGGAAAUGUUGAAGACAAAGAAGUGUGUAGGCCUGUCU
Molecule: long non-coding RNA, 798 nt
Organism: Bos taurus (domestic cattle)
Lineage: Eukaryota; Metazoa; Chordata; Mammalia; Artiodactyla; Bovidae
Source: Ensembl